RNAcentral lists this long non-coding RNA (12684 nucleotides) under Fragaria vesca (wild strawberry). Its description in RNAcentral is "long non-coding RNA (FVES_LNC002147)". Lineage: Eukaryota; Viridiplantae; Streptophyta; Magnoliopsida; Rosales; Rosaceae. The record is from RNAcentral.
GCCAAUCUGGGUUAUAAGGAAUCGCUGUCAUUUGGAGGCUCAGGCCAUGCGCAGGGGCAACAAGUUGUGCCAUUUGAGAGUGGCGCAUUGAAGCUUUUGCUACAUGGGUCCCUGGUUAUAUGUGUCAAUGAGGCCAAGAACCUUCCUAACAUGGAUGCGUUUCACAAGACUCUAGCAAAUAUUGUUGCCAGAUUGCCUGGGACAGGCAGCAACAAGAUCACUAGUGAUCCGUAUGUGACGGUUUCAGUUGCAGGUGCUGUGGUUGGGAGGACCUUUGUGAUUAGUAAUAGUGAGAAUCCUGUUUGGGAGCAGCAUUUUGAUGUUCUGGUUGCGCAUUAUGCUUCACAGGUGCGUUUUGUUGUGAAAGAUAGUGAUGUGGGUUCACAGCUCAUAGGUGUUGUGGCAAUCCCAGUUGAGCAGAUAUAUUCCGGCAUGAAAGUUGAGGGGACUUAUCCGAUUCUUGGUUCCAAUGGGAAGCCUUGUAAGCCUGGAGCUGCUUUGAGUUUGUCGAUUCAGUAUAUCCCUAUUGAGAAAUUGACCUUUCAUAAUAAUGGGGUAGGUUUGGAUCCUGAUCACCAAGGGGUUCCUGGCACUUACUUUCCUGUUAGGAGAGGCGGUAAGGUUACUUUAUAUCAAGAUGCUCAUGUGCCUGAUGGUUGCCUUCCGAGUAUCAAGCUUGACGACAAUGUUGAGUAUGAGCAUGGGAGUUGUUGGCAAGACAUAUUUGAUGCAAUAAGUCAGGCUCGUCAUUUGAUAUACAUUGUGGGAUGGUCAGUGUACCACAAAGUUAGGUUGCUCCGGGAUGGUAGAACAGAUUGCAUGUUAGGUGAUCUUCUUAAGAUCAAGUCGCAGGAAGGUGUGAGAGUGCUGCUUCUUGUUUGGGAGGAUCCAACUUCUACCAGCAUUAUGGGAUAUAAAACGGUAAGCCCUUAGAAGAUAUAAUAUAUUUCCUUGUGUGAUUUUCCUGCACUGUAACAUACUUUUGGUUCAAGUGUCAAUGUUAUAUUAUCUUUUCACAGAUAUGGUUGCUCUGAUUUCUGUGCUUUUGUUGAACAAUUAAGUUAUAUUUGGCCUGAUGUUGGGCUCUCAAAACGCCUUUGCAUAUCUGAUAUAUCCCUUUCUUAGAAUGUAAUGAUGAUGAUCAAUACUUUUAGCCAUGGGAAAGCAUUCCUGUAGGUUUUCAAAUGCCAUAUAUUCCAUGCUUUCUUGUUGGCUUUGUUUUUGGCAAACAUGAUAAAGGUGAAGCAGUUGGCUAAUUUUUGAUAAUGUCAUAGCAGAAGCGACCCAAAGUGAAGUGCAUACAAAUUUGAUUUUAUUUUCCAGCCUAUAUUCAUUCUCUGUCAUUCAUACUGAUCAUUUUUAUCCUCUAUGCACAAAAGCUUAUGCUUCAUUUGCCUGAUCCUGUGUUUUACUUAAAUUAAUACUCUAGAAGACUAAUAUUUUGUUUCUCCAUUGGCUAUUCAUUUAUCAUUUCAUAUUUCACUAGAUGUUGAUACUGCGUAAUAUGUAGGAUGGAAUCAUGCAAACCAAAGUUGAGGAAACUCGCCGUUUCUUCAAGCAUUCUUUAGUCCAAGUGCUACUUUGCCCUCGAUCAGCUGGAAAGGGUAGCUGGGUCAAGAAACAGGUUUGACAAAUUGUUCUUGUUUGUUUGUACCUUUUAGCUUGACGUGGUUGAAAUGUCAUUUACUUAUCUAACUACAAUACUAGAAAAUUAAAGAAAUUCAAAUCAACACAGGAGAAUCUUGAUGGUCUUGAUCUGUUCCAGGCAUAAAAGUUACUCUUAAAUUUGGAGGACUAGGAAGAGUUUUCCCUUUGAGGUCUCUUGACAUGUUGAUAGUAUUAUUCAGAAUAUCAACAUUUCAUAUGGCAGAAUUAACCUUAUUUUAUUGAUGUGAAAUGAUAUAUGCCACCGUGCAUUUUGUUUUCAUGCUAAAAUCUGCUUACAAGUUUUUCUUUUUCACUGGUCCCAGAAUUCUGAUCUGUUCUUUGAAACUAUAGGCACAUACACAAAUCUUUGAUUUAUGUUUGCAUGUGCUGUGUACUCCAGGAGAGACUCAGCGGUUGCAUAUAGUUUCUUUGUCUGUAUAGUGUAUACUUAUAUAAUUUCUGAAUAAUUCUUGCUUCGCAUCUCUUGGUUUUGUAUUUGGUUACAGGAAGUAGGAACAAUCUAUACCCACCAUCAGAAAACAGUGAUUGUUGAUGCUGAUGCAGGUCAGUUUAGAAGAAAGAUAAUUGCAUUUGUUGGGGGUCUGGAUCUGUGCCUGGGACGCUACGAUACUCCAGAGCAUCCUAUAUUUAGGACUUUACAGACAGUCCACAUGGAUGAUAAUCAUAACCCUACUUUUUCGGUAAGCAUCUUAUAUAUUUCUGCUUUGUUGUAGGAUGCUCUUGUUUAAGCCAUCUUAUGUGAUAAGACUCAUUUGUUACUGGCCAGGAAUGGUGGCUAGAAAAUGUUAUUUGUUGAACAUAAAGCAACUAAGCAUGUACCUGGUUUAAAUGCUAACCUUAACUUGUAAUUGAUUGACUUGGCUAUUCACAAAUGAGGACAUGAUCAGAUAUAUUCACAAAAAUGGAUGAUAAUAGCUCUAGGAUUUAGGGGGUUACACCGACCAUUGGCGAAUCUUUCUUAAAUAUAUCUCAUAGUUUUGUGAUUCUACAGAUCUACUUUAGUUUUGAUAUUGGUUUCGUAGCUGAUAACAAAGAUUGGGAUAACCUUGAUGAUUAGAUCUCCAUUAUGAUUAUCUAUAUUGUUUUCGUGUUUGACCUUUUAGCCCGUUUGCUUUUUAACACAAACAGGACCGUGUUGUUGGUUGUCCAAGGCAGCCAUGGCAUGAUUUGCACAGUAAAAUUGAAGGUCCAGCAGCAUACGAUAUCCUCGCCAAUUUUCAGGAGCGUUGGUUAAAAGCUUCAAACCCACGUGGGAUUCAGAAUCUAAAAGCACAUGAAGAUGCAUUACUCAAGAUUGAGAGGAUCCCUGAAAUUAUGGGGAUGGCAGAUCUUCCUCAACCGAGUGAGGAUGAUCUAGAAGCUUGGGACGCUCAGGUAUACUGGAUGACAAUCAGCUAUUUCGGAGUUGUUUAAUGAGUAUUAUAUGUAUGGUAAAGUGUUGACUGUUUCUGAACAAUUGAAGGUUUUUCGUUCAAUUGAUUCCACUUCUGUGAGAGGAUUUCCAGAAAACCCAAAAGAUGCUUCGAGCAUGGUAAGAGAAACUUUAGUUCUUAACUAAUGUGCACUAUGCUCUAAUUUCAAAUUUAUAUCAUUGAUGGUUUAUGUCUCCCUACGUGCAACAGAACCUGGUGUGUGGGAAAAAUGUUUUGAUAGACAUGAGUAUACAUGCCGCAUAUGUCAAAGCAAUCCGCACUGCUCAACAUUUCAUUUACAUAGAAAACCAGUACUUCCUUGGAUCAUCAUAUAAUUGGACCUUGUACAAUGAUUUAGGUGAGAACUCUUAACGUUAGUAGCAGGGGACUGACAAAGGAAAUAAAAGUGGUGGAAACAUGUCAGUAUUCCUGAUGUAGGAACACACAGUAUACUUUCCUUAUUUUCCAGUCUUGUAGUUGCGUUAUAUGCUGAAUGUGAUUGAAUCUCCCAGACUGACAGGACCUUUUAACGUUCUGGGAACUAAAUUAUACUGAGGCCCUAGUAGUGUAGCUUCCACCCACCUCCAAAAUGUGAAUCUCUUUAAUUUUUUAAGAAGAGAUCAAUAACAAAUCCUUGAUGACAAGAAGAUAGUCUGCGAAUGUCAUUUGCAUUAUUUGUUAGAUCCUAUCUUAUCGUCUUUCCAACUGAUUUAUCGUCAUACUGAUAAUGGUGAUAAUGCCUUUAUGUGCAGGUGCAAACAAUUUAAUACCAAUGGAAAUUGCUCUCAAAAUUGUGAAUAAAAUUAAAGCAAAUGAGAGGUUUGCUGUGUAUAUUGUUAUCCCCAUGUGGCCGGAAGGUGUUCCUACUAGCACUCCUAUUCAACGAAUUCUCUUUUGGCAGGUAAUCUAGUUACCAUAAAAUAAUGCAGGUUGUAGAUUUUAAUGAACUAUUGUUCAAUUGAGACUUUUCAGAAUUCAAAAUGUUAAACACAGAUUAUUAAUCCCUACCCUAGAAAUAGCAAGAGAUGUACACUGUUCAUAUUAAUCAGAAAUACAAGAUGUAGUCCAAAGCUCUCUGCUGCGUUUUACAUUUUCUGCUUUGCAUCUUUCAAUUUCAAUAAGCCUUGAUUCCUAUCAAUUAAAAUUUUUGAGAAUGAAUACUGUACAAAUGAAGCUCUUGGUGUCCUAGUAAAGUAUCUGCUGAUUCCAAACUUAAUUCAACUUAUCUUUAAAAAUAUCCACUUUUGGUUUCUGACAUGUUGGAAUGAUUACUGUUCAGACGUAGUGCUGUCAAACAGAAUUCAUGAGCCUAUUGCUGCUUGUUUUUCACCUGUUGUCUUGCUUUGUUACUGCAGCAUAAAACAAUGCAAAUGAUGUAUGAAAUGAUUUACAAGGCUCUACUGGAGGCUGGACUUCACAAUAGAUAUUGUCCCCAAGACUAUUUGAAUUUCUUUUGCCUCGGUAAUCGUGAGAAACCAAGUGGUGAAGAAAGUUCUUCUGCAAAAAAAUUAAAUGAAGCAAACAAAAAAGAAGCAAACACUCCUCAAGUAAGUCCCUCAUACUUAUCUCAAGUCUCCAGUAGAUAUCUUGUAUUCUCUCAUCUAGAAUCCCAUAUACUAAAAAAAAAAUUGUGCUGGUUUUGGUAACCCAGGCACUCACUCGGAAGAACCGGCGCUUUAUGAUUUAUGUUCAUUCAAAAGGAAUGAUAGUGGACGAUGAAUAUGUCAUAAUUGGAUCUGCAAAUAUCAAUCAGCGAUCCAUGGAAGGUACCCGAGAUACUGAAAUAGCAAUGGGGGCUUAUCAGCCUCAUCAUACUUGGGCAAGAAAACUCUCAAGUCCACAUGGAAAGGUAACAUGUGAAAACUGUGUGUGUGUGUCUUUGAAGCCGAUAGAACUCAUAGAAGUAUCUUGCACAUGAUGAAAUGAUAAUUCAUUCUUAGAACUCCAACCAAUAUAGACUGUUAGACGCCAGAGCAUACAAUUUUAUGGAUUGUGUACGAAAGUUAAUUGGUAACCCAUGUGUGAUUGCAGGUAUAUGGAUAUAGAAUGUCACUGUGGGCAGAGCAUAUAGGACUUGUUGAAAAAUGUUUCAAGCAGCCAGAGAGUCUUGAAUGUGUCCAAAGAGUAAGGACUUUGAGUGAGCAGAACUGGAGUCAAUACAUAGCCGAUGAAGUCACAGACAUGAAGGGUCACCUCCUGAAAUAUCCGGUUGAAGUUAGUCCAACCGGCAAGGUGGAGCCUCUUCCGGGAUGCGCAGCAUUUCCAGAUGUUGGCGGCUACAUAUUGGGGAGUUCUGACGUUCAGUUUACAGAGUUGACAGGAGAUUUUGAAACAACAGGAGAUGUUCGGUCCAUGGCUUGUAAGUUAUUAUCAGCUCUGUCUCUCUGUUUGGUGAUUUGUUGGAGGUAUCUCCAGCUAGAAUCUUUUUCUAGAAUUAUUAUUACUACACUUUCCAACAGGAAGCCUAAACUCUCAUAACUAUGUAGGAGUAAAAUGUCACAAGUAACACUUAUGACUUCUAAGUUCGAUGACACUUCACUUGUUAGCGUCAUUUAAAUCACUAUACAUUUUGGUUGUUUCCAGCACUGUGAAUACAUUUGUUGGUUGCUUGACUGUUAUUGAGAAUCCGUUUAGAUUUUGUUGUAUUUCAGUGUCCUGACCACCACCCUAAAAUCAUCCACAUCUCUUACCAGCUCCCCAGCCUGAGCCAGCUCCUGUGAAGAAUGAUGUGCUUUCAGGUUUCGGGAUGGAAGACGCUCGCAGGGGUAUUGUAGCCCAUUCAGACCAUGAAUUGGAAAGCACAGGAAUAAGUAGAACAUUCAGGGAUGAAGACCACUUUGAAAAAGGGGUAGCCCUCCCAUCUACAUCACCAGUUAUUGGGCAAAAAAAUGAUGAGUUUUUGAAUACCAGGGGAGAGGACAAUCAUAGGGGUUUUGUCACCCAUUUGGGUCACGAAACACAAAACACCGAUGAAAAUCAUCUUGAAGAAGAGAUACCUGUCCCCUCUACGUCUCCACCUUCACCAGCUGUGGGAGAUCAUCGGGUGAAGUAUGAUGUGUUUUUGAGUUUCAGGGGGGAAGAUACUCGAAAGGGUUUUAUCGCCUAUUUAUACCGUGAAUUGCAAAAAACCAGAGCGAUUAAAACUUUCAAGGAUGACGCGCAACUGAAAAAAGGGACUGUUAUUGCUUCAAAUCUCCUAAGGGCAAUCGAAGAAUCAAGGUUUGCGAUUAUUGUGUUUUCCGAGAAGUAUGCUGAUUCUGCAUGGUGUUUGGAUGAACUUACAAAGAUUUUUCAAUGCAUGGAGGGUAAGGACACAAUUCUCCCAAUUUUUUAUCAGUUGGAUCCCGCUGUUGUACGAUAUCAAAAGAAAGAGACCAGUUUUGGUGAAGCUUUCGUCAAGCAUGAAGCUAGACAAGACAUUGAGAAGACGAACCAGUGGAGAGCUGCAUUAAAAGGAGUGGCAGGAAUCUCUGGGUGGAAUUCAAACACUUUUCCGUAAGCAUAUGUUUACAAUACUUGGUACUUUCAAUUUAUUAUUUGGAUGAAGAUUAUUUUGAACCCUUCUUCCUUGUAGGACGGAGGUAGAACUAAUCGAUGACAUUGUGAAACAUUUGUUGGAAAAAGUACUUCAAGCACCCACCAGAACUUUUGGAACAUUUGAAGCGACAGGGCAAGUCAUGGAUGAGGUCAUGAAGGUGUUAAAAGAUGAUCAAGUCACUGUCCUUGGGGUGCAUGGAGUAGCUGGCGUUGGAAAGACGACUAUGGUCAAACAUGUUGGUGCACAAGCUGAGAAAGAUGGGCUUUUUGAUCGUGUGAUUAUGGUUGUCAUAUCCAAAAGCCCUGACUUGCAAGAAAUUCAAGGCACGCUAGCAGAUUCAUUGGGCCUGAAGGAGGGGAUCAAGAGAGGAGAUAGGAUGCUUAUAAUCUUGGACGACAUUUGGGAGAGUUUUGAACUCUCAGGCAUUGGAAUUCCCGGUCACCAUGAGCUUCAAAACUGUUACUCUAAAGUUGUAAUCAUCACAAGGAACAGCAACGUCUGCCAUUCUAUGGGGUGUCAUGCCCAGAUCGCUCUCAAUAUUCUAUCAGAUGAAGAUUCUUGGAAGUUACUCAAAGAGACCUCGGGGAAGUCUUUUGAUGAAUCUGCAAAUUCCUAUGAUGAAGAGAGGAAGGUAGCUCAAGAAUGCAGAGGUCUCCCAAGAGCAAUAAAAGCAGCUGCAAGGUCACUUGGAGAUAAAUACCGGGAUGAAUGGAAUGAAGCAGUUGCAAGGGAAUUUGGAGGCUUGGACGAAUGGAAUGAAGCAGCUCAAGCCUUCAACCUUGAAGCUGAGAAGGGCUCUUUUCAUUCAUUGGAGGAUACAUAUCACUCACUGGAAUCUGAUGAUGCCAAGUCAUGCUUCUUGCUAUGCUGCUUAUUCCCAGAAAAUUAUGAUAUCCCAAUUGAGAAGUUGCUCAAGUAUGGGAUUGGAAUAGGUUUGUUUCAAUAUGAUUCAAUGCAAGAAGCCAGAGAUAGAGCACAUUCUGUGGUUAAGUACCUCAAAGCUUCUAGAUUACUUCUGGAGGGUACAAAGGAGGGAUGUGUAAGGACGACCGAUGACAUUCGAAAUCUGGCAUUGUCCGAGGAAGGCGAUGGGCUUUUAGUAAAAGCUGGUUGUGAGCUAGAGGAGUGGCCAGACGCAGAGGCAGUAUGGUCGCAAGGUAUGCCAGUAAUGCCACUGCAGCCCUUUAGAUUUUAUUAUUAUUAUUUAUUUAUUUUUCCUUUUUUAACCAUCACAAAUUCUAUUUUAUUUGUGGCUAACAAUUUCGCACUCUUAGGAUUGACUUGGACCCAUUCCUGGCACUGGGAUUGUCCAAUUGAUACUCAUGAAGGCUACUCAAUAAUCUCACUAAUGAGAAACAAGCUUCACAAGCUUCCUGAAUAUUUGGUAUGUUCAAAGCUCCAAAUUUUGUUACUACAAAGUAAUGCUGGUAUAUGUGACAUUCCAGAAACCUUUCUUCAAAGUCCUAGUGCGCUAAGGGUCUUUGAUCUUAGCUUCACCAGUAUUUCGUCACUACCUCAGUCAUUCAGUUUCCUAACCAGCCUCCAAGCUUUGAAUUUGGAUUUUUGCAGCAAUUUAAGUGAGAUAUCUGUCUUAGGAAAUCUUAAGAAACUUGAGAUUCUUAGUAUGAGAGAACUUCCUCUUAAGAAUUUACCAAAACAAAUAGGAAAUUUGACCAGUCUGAGGAAGUUGGACGUCACUGGUAGAUAUCUUGAAACAAUCCCAUCUAAAGUGUUAUCGAAGUUGUGUAGAUUGGAAGAACUGCACAUGAAGUUUCAAUUUGGGAAGUGGGGAAGUAAAAUUGAGGAUGCAUCUGAAGAAACCAACGCUAACUUUGAUGAGUUGACUAGUUUGCUGGAUUUAAACAUUUUGGAAGUUUACAUAUCUGAUGCUACAUGCUUGCCUCAAAGUGUUGAGUACUUCAACCCGAAUUGGGUAGAAUUUGAUAUAUGCAUCAGCAGGGACGUGUUGCUCCCUCGAUAUGAUGGUUUUUCAAGAACCUUGACUCUUGACACAACAAUCAAUAGCUUACCGGAUUGGUUUAUCAGCGUUGUGACAGCGAAAGUGGAGCGGCUAGAGUACACAAAUUGCGAUGAUUUGAAUGACCUUGUUGGGGAAUAUGACCAUGGCAGAUUAUUUGUGCUGAAAUAUCUCUCUGUGAACGGGCACCAUAAGAACUUGAAAGAGAUAAUCAACACAAUGAGACGGGUUUCAAAUAAACCGGUAUUUGAGAACUUGGAAGAUUUGCAUCUGCACUGCUUAUAUUCCCUCGAGGAGUUGUGUGUUGGUGAGCUACCACCUGGGUCCCUACGCAAGCUCAAGUUAUUGAAAGUGCAAACAUGUCAUAGCUUGGUGAAUGCACUUUUACCAUUGACAUUGUUGCCGAGAUUACAAAAUCUGGAAAAAAUCAUUUGUGUACAUCUGGACAGAAUGAAAUAUGUUUUUGGAUCUGAUGAAGGGGGUGUUGAUUCAGAGAAGAUUUUCUUGAGGAAAUUGAGGGAGAUGAGAUUGUGUGCUCUAGAAGAACUAGUAAGAAUAUGCAACGGUCCUGCUCCGCAUGCAAUCUUCCAGAAUCUAAAAGUUUUGGCAAUCUGCGAGUGCAAGGAACUGAAAAGCCUCUUCACAAUAGACGUUGCUAAAUGUCUUUUUCAGUUGGAAGACCUUUGCAUAGAGCAGUGUCCUCGCUUGGACAGAGUCAUUGAAGCAAGCAAUAGCUUGAACAGCGAGAUUACACUUCCGGCGUUGAAGAGAUUAGCUUUGAUUGAUCUUCCGGUGCUCACAAGGUUCUGCACUGAAAGUGGUAAUAUUGAAACUCGGUGUCGGUGCCCUUCAUUGGAAUACUUGUACGUGGAGAACUGCAUCAAGUUUUCAUAUUAUGCAAACUUCCACUUCAGUAAGAAGCAAAUUCACUUCAAUGAUCAACACCAUUUGAGUUCUCUAGUGAAAAGGUACGUGUUGUCAUAAAUUUCAAACAUUUAUUUAUUUAUUUAUUUUUUUCUGUUCCUGAGUCUUUUUCUUCCUCUUCUGAGUCGUUUCUCCAGCAAUCCCAAAUGUCUUUCCAGUCAUUUAAGCAUUGUCUAAUACUCUAUUUCCAGUCAGAGAAGUGAAGUAUUGAAGUGUAAACAUUGAUGAAACACCUCCUAAUUAAAUUGGUGACUUAUUUACUUCUUUUCAUUUCAAAAUGACUUGUCAGGUGGAAGGAAAUGCAUAAUCAGCUAUAAGAGAGCUGCUGCUGCACUAGGAAAAAAGAGAUGUUCAGUAGUCCCAGAACAAGAUUACUCAGUUAGCUGUAUGAAUGCUAUUAUUAUCUCUUAGUCUUGCAUUGGCCUGCAAUCUUUAUGUUGGAAACUUUUGAUUAAGAGGGUAUUUAAAAAAGUAACUUGGGGUUUGACACAAUGACACAGCAAUUUGAACAACAGGACUCUAAACUAGAGAGAACACUACGGAAAAAAAAAAAAAAACCCAAACUAGAGCAAAGAGGGUACACCAGAAGAACAUUUCUUUUUUUUUUCUUUUUCUUUUUGAAAAGGAUAACCUAUAUUGCUUAACCAAUGACCAAAAGACAGUACAUCAAAAUGCCAUUCUCCACAGUGUUAAGGGAGGUUUACAAGCACCAAAACAUGUACUUUUACUAAUUACACAUAGGCUCAAAAGAAAAUGAUAAAAAUUUUAUUACCUAAUUCCAUAGAACAUAAUAUUAGCUGCUUAAGACCUCAAUUGAUAUAUACCUAACAAACUUAAGAAUUAAACAAAAAAAGUACAUCUGAUGCUCAGGCAUAGACGCCCGAGGCCUAAGUGAUGCCCCUACCCUUAGCAUUAGGGCGAGCCAUCAACCUAGCUGCAAAAUUAGCCUUCUUAGCUUGGAACCCAGGACCAUCAACCUAAGCCCAAUCUUGACCAGUCUUAGAUUUGAGCCCAAACCCAAGCUUGAAGACCCGGCCCGAAUCCGAGCCCAAACCUAGGUAAAAGUUAACCUCCCAACGAAGGAAAUUGACUUCGCCAACGACCACCUCCCAAGCCACCUCCCUCCUGCCCAACAAACGCCAACACCACAGCUCGAGCCGCGAACAACCUUAAUCAAUUUGGAACCCAAACUUAUCCGUUGAACCACCGCAGCCCGGCGUCCCCGUCCAUCUGCCGUCGUUGUUUCUGACGACCUAGCUUCCUUGCAAAGACUCAACUCAAUUCCAGAUCGGCGAAACCCAAUCCAGACUCGUAUUGCCAAACCGCUCCGCAAAGAUCGGAGCAUCGUGGCCUUUUUUUUUUUUCUCGUUGUGAAUGAUAGUGGACGAUGAAUAUGUCAUAAUUGGAUCUGCAAAUAUCGAUCAGCGAUCCAUGGAAGGUACCCGAGAUACUGAAAUAGCAAUGGGAGCAUAUCAGCCUCAUCAUACUUGGGCAAGAAAGCUCUCACGUCCACGGGGAAAGGUAAAUCGAUCAAAUGAUAUACCCUUGAGAAGAAUUUUAACCAAUAUGUUAAUUUGAAUUUGCUUGAAAUGUCUGAUUGCAGGUAUAUGGAUAUAGAAUGUCACUGUGGCAAGAGCACAUAGGACUUGUUGAAGAAUGUUUCAAGCAGCCAGAGAGUCUUGACUGUGUCCGAAGGGUAAGGACUCUGAGUGAGCAGAACUGGAGCCAAUACGUAGCUGAUGAAGUGACGGACAUGAACGGUCGUCACCUCCUGAGAUAUCCUAUUGAAGUUGAUCAAUUCGGAAAUGUGAUGGCUCUUUCCGGGUGUACAGACUUUCCAGACGUCAAUGGAUACAUAUUGGGGAGUCCCGGCGACAUAAGGAACAUUCUAGGGAUCAGAAGGUUUGUGCCGUGGGAAUUACCAUUCCCAUGGAAGAAGAGAGAAAAUGUCACCACCUGCUCUAUCAUGUGAUUUUGUUCAUUUCUUUUACCUUUGUUCAUAUAUUUGACCUCCUAUGUUUUUAUAUUAUGUUUUCUAAUCUUAACUUCUUAACUAUUCAUAUAUGUGUGUAGAAAUAUGUCAGUCGUGUAUUGAAGAUGUUUUAUUGUAAUAAUCAUUGAAUCGUGAGUUUCUUUUUCUUUUUCUUUCCUUCUUAAGGUGGGAUCUUCCAGCUCGGCCUAGCCCACUAAAAGCUCGAUUCGCUUAUCUUUCGCGAAAAUUAUACAGAUAACCACGCGCCCAAAUUUCGUCCAGCCCAAAUUUCUUGUUUUCUCCUCAUACUGAUAACCACGCGCCUAAGUCUUCGUCUUCCUCUUGCUCAUUUGGUACAGAAGACUUGGUCCAUUCUGGGGUUUCCAUUCUUCGAUCGAAAGGAGAUUAUAGAUAUAAGCAACUUGCCUAGUUGUACCUUGUUUUGCAUGCUAUUCAUUUCAACUACUCCCACUUGUUUUGUGUCUGUUAAUUGAACAAUGCUGCUUCUGGGUCUUCGUCUUCGUGUUCCAUUGCUAGUCCACUCUGACAGCUCAAGUGUUGUUCUUUGGAUUCCUUUAAUUAUAUUAAUGGUCUCAAGCUUAGCAUCUUCUGCAUUGUCAACACCCAUUACAUGUUUGGUGCCUAUCAUUUCAGUUUUGGCCAACUCUCUCUGGUUUUCCAGAACUCCACCAUAUCUGUGUACCACCCAUUUGAUAGCUUUACUUGCUUCAGUGUUGAGCAACAGGACAUUUUGGGGUCUAUGUGAACUGGGUUUUUGCACAUACCCCGAAAGUUUGGGCCUUUAUUGGAUUUCGGGUUAGUGUUGAAAUUGAAUUUCAUUGAGAUUUGUUUGCAAAUCUAGUAUUAGUUCAACUUCUUUGAAGAGGUUAGAGGUAUUCUUUGAUGGCCAAUCUGGGUUAUAAGGAAUCGCUGUCAUUUGGAGGCUCAGGCCAUGCGCAGGGGCAACAAGUUGUGCCAUUUGAGAGUGGUGCAUUGAAGCUUUUGCUACAUGGGGCCCUAGUUAUAUGUGUCAAUGAGGCCAAGAACCUUCCUGCCAUGGAGGGUUUGCAUAAGCAUAUGGGGCGUGUCAUUGCGAAAGUGCCUGGGAGAAGUAGCAAAACAACAACCAGUGCUCCCUAUGUUACAAUUGCACUGUCAGGUGCUGUAGUUGGGAGGACCUUUGUGAUUAGUA